Molecule: ribosomal RNA, 253 nt
Filed under: uncultured bacterium
Lineage: Bacteria
Description: partial 16S ribosomal RNA
Rfam family: Bacterial small subunit ribosomal RNA
Source: RNAcentral
UACAGAGGGCCCGAGCGUUGUUCGGAUUUACUGGGCGUAAAGGGUGCGUAGGCGGUGUGGUAAGUUUGAGGUGAAAGCUCCGGGCUCAACCCGGAAAAUGCCUUGAAAACUAUCCGGCUAGAGGGUUGGAGGGGAGACUGGAAUUCUCGGUGUAGCAGUGAAAUGCGUAGAUCUCGAGAGGAACACCAGUGGCGAAGGCGGGUCUCUGGACAACACCUGACGCUGAGGCACGAAAGCCAGGGGAGCAAACGGG